CCACGGAUCCCACCUAAAUAGUGCAUGGGUUCCACGUGGAUCCUACCUAAAUAAUGCGUGGGUCCCAUGUGGGCCAAGGAUGGAUGAGCAGGCUCCGAACCUAGGAGUUCUAGUAUGUGUAUAUAGAUUUGCAUGAAGCUUGAAGGGACAAUUGGAAAGGAUCUUUCACCAUUUCUCUUCUCGGCAGAUAAGAAAAGUUCAACAAAACCUAAAGUUCGCAUGGUCUUAAAAUAUGGUUCCUUUUUUCUGAAUCAAUCUGGCUGAUAACAAUGUGGCCCUAAGCUAGUUGAUGAAAAGCAAAAAUGGGUGAAGAAAGUUGGAAACGCCAUGGAUCUUUCGUAGGCAAUCAUGGAUGGCGCCGCGCUGAUUGCUGAUGCACGCGAUCAAACAUUCAACAGAGGACACCCCCUGGCUCCCAUGUGACAGCCGCCUGAUGACCACCUGCUAAACUAAUCCCAGAUCGUCGUCUUCCCCAAUCGAUUUCCUUGUAGUGACGCAGAGAUGCAUGGGCAGACGCAUGGUCACAUGCACACCAGUGUGGCACAGGUACUUGCAAUGCAACUCCAUCAUGGCAAAAGCUAGUAGCCAGUAGCCAUUGACAUGGCUGGUAGCUCUGCGUGCACUUUGCUACUAGCUUCCUAGCAAGUUCUGUUUUGGCCUGGUUCUAGUUGUCAUCUCUCAUCUAAAGACAAAAUAAGGAGGAGGUACACAUAGAUGUUAGCUAAUUGAUUUCAACACAAGUUAUUUUUAACAGAUGAACGACAUGUUUCCCGUUACUAGUCUCGAAUACUGUAGCUGGACUUACAUUAUGCAAGAUGUCUUCGUAUAUGUCGGGAUCGACAAUUCGGAACUGUGCAGUGAAUCACUGUGCAAAUACAUGCAUGCUUCUUGUUCCUGUUUGGUUCACUGUAUCUGUAUAGAGUUCAUUGUGCUGUCGAAGGCAGCAACAGAUUUGAGGUUAGAACAGAGGGUCGACAGAGGAGGGAUCCAAUGAACCUGCAAAUAUAAUAUUAUAUUGGAUCAGGAUCAGUGUAAAGAGUUAACUGAAAAUGCAUCAACUCAAAGCUGCAGAUGUUAGAACUUGAGAUAUCCUCACUCCUGGUUAAGAUGCCCAAUAACUGGCAAUGCAAGAUGGUGCCAGUUUGUGGGGAUAAAAUAUGUUGUCCAACAGUUAGCUUGCUCAAUGCAUGAAUCCACCACUUGCCUUAAACAAAAGACAGGUAUAGAACAAUUGCACGAAGAUGAAGUGCCUACGAAAAGAAUGCUGAAAGAU
RNAcentral lists this long non-coding RNA (1273 nucleotides) under Setaria viridis. RNAcentral's name for it is "long non-coding RNA (SVIR_LNC005277)". Lineage: Eukaryota; Viridiplantae; Streptophyta; Magnoliopsida; Poales; Poaceae. The record is from RNAcentral.